RNAcentral lists this ribosomal RNA (404 nucleotides) under uncultured Latescibacterota bacterium. RNAcentral's name for it is "bacterial SSU rRNA". It matches the Rfam family "Bacterial small subunit ribosomal RNA", at positions 980 to 1382 of the family's 1533-position model. Lineage: Bacteria; Pseudomonadati; Candidatus Latescibacterota. The record is from RNAcentral.
UUUGACAUGCAGGUGAUCGCCGUUGAAAGACGGUUUCCUCUUCGGAGGCACCUGCACAGGUGCUGCAUGGCUGUCGUCAGCUCGUGUCGUGAGAUGUUGGGUUAAGUCCCGCAACGAGCGCAACCCUUAUCCCUAGUUGCCAUCAGGUAAAGCUGGGAACUCUGGGGAGACUGCCGGUGAUAAACCGGAGGAAGGCGGGGAUGACGUCAAGUCCUCAUGGCCCUUACAUCCCGGGCUACACACGUGCUACAAUGGCAGGUACAGAGGGCUGCGAAGCCGCGAGGUGGAGCGAAUCCCAGAAAACCUGUCUCAGUCCGGAUUGAAGUCUGCAACUCGACUUCAUGAAGGCGGAAUCGCUAGUAACCGCGAAUCAGCAGGUCGCGGUGAAUACGUUCCCGGGCCUU